AUCUAAUAUGGCAGAAUAGUGCAUUGGAUUUAAACCCCAAAAAUAAAGUUUUACUUUUUUUAGA
This 64-nucleotide transfer RNA is filed under the name Lamiinae sp. 2 ACP-2013. RNAcentral's name for it is "tRNA-Leu". Lineage: Eukaryota; Metazoa; Arthropoda; Insecta; Coleoptera; Cerambycidae. The record is from RNAcentral.